UUGAGCGCUGGCGGCAUGCCUUACACAUGCAAGUCGAACGGUAACGCGGGGCAACCUGGCGACGAGUGGCGAACGGGUGAGUAAUAUAUCGGAACGUGCCCAGUAGUGGGGGAUAGCCCGGCGAAAGCCGGAUUAAUACCGCAUGAGACCUAAGGGUGAAAGCGGGGGAUCGCAAGACCUCGCGCUAUUGGAGCGGCCGAUAUCAGAUUAGGUAGUUGGUGGGGUAAAAGCCUACCAAGCCGACGAUCUGUAGCUGGUCUGAGAGGACGACCAGCCACACUGGGACUGAGACACGGCCCAGACUCCUACGGGAGGCAGCAGUGGGGAAUUUUGGACAAUGGGCGCAAGCCUGAUCCAGCCAUGCCGCGUGCGGGAAGAAGGCCUUCGGGUUGUAAACCGCUUUUGUCAGGGAAGAAAUCUUCUGGGCUAAUACCUCGGGAGGAUGACGGUACCUGAAGAAUAAGCACCGGCUAACUACGU
RNAcentral lists this ribosomal RNA (480 nucleotides) under uncultured bacterium. Its description in RNAcentral is "bacterial SSU rRNA". It matches the Rfam family "Bacterial small subunit ribosomal RNA", at positions 29 to 506 of the family's 1533-position model. The record is from RNAcentral.